GUACUACCAACUUAAUUUGAACACUUUUAGGUGCGUCUUGUAGUGACGGACCAGUUUCUGAUCUUUGUUGGACGGGACAGGGUCACCACUCCCUUGUAUAUCAGGAUUUGUGUAUUUUAAUGGGAUUAAUGGAUAUAUACCGUGCGUCUUGUAGUGACGAACCAGUUCCUGAUCUUUGUUGGACGGGACAGGGUCACCACUCCCUUGUAUAUCAGGAUUUGUGUAUUUUAAAGUCAUUUAUUGAUAUUUUCGGUAAAGUACAAGUACUGACAACUUAAUUUGAACACUUUUAGGUGUGUCUUGUUGUCACGGAUGCUUGUGUUAAAAUUGGCUACAGGCAAGGACAACCUCAGCCUAACAUGUGUUAAUCAUUUGAUUGUUGACUGUUGAGUUGGGGGACUACUGUUUGUUAUCCAUUGUACCUGUUGAAUGGACACAAUGCAGUAUCAACUCGGUUGCAAUGGAAGUUGAUGUUCUCGUUUUCCUGGUGUAUGGCAGCUUAAGUGAAGCAUGGAUUUCAACAAAUAAGCGAGUAGGAAACUUGCCAUUAUUGAUUCUACCAGAUAACACUGCUAUUUUUCCAUUACUAAAUGCAGUUUUGUUUUUAUUGAUAAUUCUAUUUAUUGUAGCUUUUGCGAGCAAGUGACAGCAUUAAUGUUUUGCUAUAAAUAUAAUAUUGCAUUAAUGAAUAUUAUUACAGUCUCCAUGAAAAUGAUUACUUUGUUAUGAAUUAAAGUUUAUGAUAAUUUAGUCUCACAUGAUUAAGUGAGAAACAGGAAGGGAAUACGCUAACUUUGCACACGAUGAAUUUUGUUCUGAAAGAGUGAAGGUGUUGAUAAAACUUUGUAUAUAUAGAUGGCAAAAAGCAUCUGUUGAACCUAAAUUAUGACUAAAAUUAUUAUUAUAGGCAUAUAAAAUAAUAUCUUAUGUUUGAUGUAAUACACAAUAGUCUCUAGAGCUUUUGUUUUAUCCCCUUUUGACUUCAUCACAAAAUAAA
Long non-coding RNA from Amphimedon queenslandica, 997 nucleotides. RefSeq lists it as uncharacterized. The record is from RefSeq and is a predicted model, not a curated record. The transcript is spliced from 4 exons. NCBI's taxonomy places the organism in Eukaryota, Metazoa, Porifera, Demospongiae, Haplosclerida, Niphatidae.